GGGAGGUCCAAUAGGAGGCGCCGCGUUGGAACGCCCGAAGAGGUGCUGCUGGGGUGGUUGGAAGCUGUUGGGGGGCGAGUGUAUGGCGGUUAGGCCUGGAAGACGCGAGGACCGCUAGCGCCGUGGGGUCACUCUUCCUCAUGCCACAGGUUGCCGAGCCUCGGGAGAGAGGUGGGGUCCCAGGGGCCAACCCUUGGGUGUGUUGAUGGCAGCAGGCUAACCUAGCCAACGGGGUGCCGCUGCCGGGCAAGGUGAGGAGCAAGAUUUCCAGGGCUGAGAGGGCCAGGACCCCAAGGAGAGGGCUUACUGCGAGGAGCAGCCCAGGAUGGAUAAGGAGUUGAGGCCCCAGGGAUGCUGAGCCUGCACAAGUGGAAGUGACUGGCUACCAGACUCUGAAAAACCUAAGUCCUUUAGGUGAGUGGAGCUAAGAGUUGAAACAUCAGUAGUGGGGUCAGGAACCCCAGAAGUGUGGCCAAAUGUUCGAGGAGUUGAUCCACCUGUUGCACCUGAAAAGCCACAGGGAUCUGAGGAAUCCGAGACCUUUUGCUUGGUGAACUCAGGCUGAGACAUUACCAGAGGAAAAACUGAACACUUAAUGCCACAGAACGCAACACACUGUCAUUGUUUACAUUAAGUAGGAAUUUCGAUUUAGGCACAAGCCAAAAGCAGGGCACGCCUAGCCCUUCCGCAGCCUCCAAACUUCUGAGACUAACAUUGCUGUCGCAGAAAACCACUUGCAAAUAAACUGGCUUCUCCGUAUUUAUUAGGGAAGACCACAAAGGCAUCCAACCACAGUUUGCGCUGCAGCCCGGCAGAACUAAGUCUUGGGCGCCGCGACGCCUUUCCUACGGAAUCGGUCCUGGAAGGAAGACCAUUUAAGGUAUCCUUCUAUCAUCAUCCUUUUCUUAGGAGUUAAGAACCUGACCGUCAUUCAUCUCAAGCCCUCAAAACGCUUUACUAUUCCUCCAAAUCAUUGUCAUCCGAAUAAUUCAAGCCGGCGCAAAACGAGACACGCACACCAGGAAAAAAAAAAAGCAAUUUCCAAGUCGGAUGAGAUUUUUUAAAGACAUUUCACUUAUCGGUCUUUCCUCCCAGGACUGGCCAGGAGAGCACGCCUUCCCUUCUGAAGGUGCGUUACCAGAUUGCGGCCGUUUUUGUGCUGGGUCAUCAGAGCAGAUUCCCCUCCAGGUUACAGAUUCUAAACUUAACUCCACCCGAGCUGAAAAUGGCCGGAGCACGCCGCCUCGCCUCCCCUCCCCAAGGCUGCCGAAGCCGCCGGCCCCUGCCUCCUUUUCGACUGAUCGUCCAAGGACUGUCGCCGGAUCCAACACCUUUCCCCAGCUCUGUGCGUACCGCGCUCUUUGGAAACGAAUUACUUCAGUGUGCUGAAAGUUCUCCCAUUGAGAGCACUUAUGCAGUUGAGUGAACUAUCUGCGUGAAAGUGACAUUUGCUCAUCUGUCUUUCUUGCUGAAGUCAUCAUCUAAAGGGUCCCUGUCUGCUUCCAAGGGUCCCUGGAACCUUCUGCAGCUGUGCCUCUCCAGAGCUCCGCCUCAUUAGUGCCACGUUCUUGAAAACCAUGGUACUUCAACCUCUUCUAGAUGGGAGUUAACCUUUGCCCUGUGAAUGAAAGGUUUGAUAAGCAAACAGAGUUUGGUGAACAAGAUCCUUGUGGAGGUAAGAGCUGAUCUCUGACGUCCACUGGGACCUGGCUGCUCUGCAGGUUUCCGUAUCACAUCUUCUGCACAUGUCUAUUAGAAUUGGAGUUGGGGCGUAUCUAGUUUUGAAUAAAGGCCCAGCAGGCCCUCUCAGAUGCACCCUGUCA
This is a long non-coding RNA of Symphalangus syndactylus (siamang), 1823 nucleotides long. RefSeq lists it as uncharacterized. The record is from RefSeq and is a predicted model, not a curated record. NCBI's taxonomy places the organism in Eukaryota, Metazoa, Chordata, Mammalia, Primates, Hylobatidae.